UUCCUCGCUUGUUCUUCUGGUGCUGAGUUUUGUUUAAAUUUAGCAGGGAAGUUGGUGCAAAUCCAACGCUGCCCCCGCAGCGGUAAUUGAAUGUUUUAUUAUUCAUAAGUCCGGAGACCGACCUUAAGAAUUUAAGAAUA
Molecule: non-coding RNA, 140 nt
Filed under: Moritella viscosa
Lineage: Bacteria; Pseudomonadati; Pseudomonadota; Gammaproteobacteria; Alteromonadales; Moritellaceae
Source: RNAcentral